Molecule: ribosomal RNA, 433 nt
Filed under: uncultured bacterium
Lineage: Bacteria
Description: partial 16S ribosomal RNA
Rfam family: Bacterial small subunit ribosomal RNA
Source: RNAcentral
AACGAACGCUGGCGGCAGGCCUAACACAUGCAAGUCGAGCGAGGACUUCGGUCCUAGCGGCGGACGGGUGAGUAACGCGUGGGAACGUGCCCUUUGCUUCGGAAUAGCCCUGGGAAACUGGGAGUAAUACCGGAUGAGCCCUUUGGGGGAAAGAUUUAUCGGCGAAGGAUCGGCCCGCGUUGGAUUAGGUAGUUGGUGGGGUAAUGGCCUACCAAGCCGACGAUCCAUAGCUGGUUUGAGAGGAUGAUCAGCCACACUGGGACUGAGACACGGCCCAGACUCCUACGGGAGGGAGCAGGGGGGAAUAUUGGACAAGGGGGGAAAGCCUGAUCCAGCCAAGCCGGGUGAGGGAUGAAGGCCUUAGGGUUGUAAAGCUCUUUUAACCGGGAAGAUAAAGACAGGACCGGGAGAAAAAGCCCCGGCUAACUCCGUG